AAUGAACGCUGGCGGCGUGCUUAACACAUGCAAGUCGAACGAGAAAGUUCUCUUCGGAGGACGAGUAAAGUGGCGCACGGGUGAGUUAACGCGUGAAUAAUCUACCCCUGAAUUUGGGAUAACAGUUCGAAAGGGCUGCUAAUACCGGAUAACAUUGUCUUUUUUUACGGAUUAGACAAUCAAAGAGGGCCUCUCCUUGGAAGCUUUUGUUUGGGGAUGAGUUCGCGUCCCAUUAGUUAGUUGGUAAGGUAACGGCUUACCAAGACAUCGAUGGGUAGCUGGUCUGAGAGGAUGAUCAGCCACACUGGAACUGACACACGGUCCAGACUCCUACGGGAGGCAGCAGUGAGGAAUUUUGCGCAAUGGGCGAAAGCCUGACGCAGCAACGCCGCGUGAGUGAUGAAGGCUCUUGGGUCGUAAAGCUCUGUCAAGUGGGAAGAAACCUCUUGGAGUUAAUACCUUCAAGAAUUGACGGUACCACUGAAGGAAGCACCGGCUAACUCCGUG
This 507-nucleotide ribosomal RNA is filed under the name uncultured bacterium. RNAcentral describes it as "bacterial SSU rRNA". It matches the Rfam family "Bacterial small subunit ribosomal RNA", at positions 29 to 507 of the family's 1533-position model. The record is from RNAcentral.